CUCGGAUUUGAAAUUGAUUUUUGAAUGAUAAAAGAAAAACAUUAUUUUGAGGAUGAUGAUGGAUUCUCUAGUCUACCGGAGAAUAUUUUUUAAUUAAAAUUAACUAAAAGACAGGUAUUUAAAUUCGAAAAGCAUUUAUAUGUUUAACUAAUCAAAGAAAAGCUUUGGCAUAAAUCAAAAUGGAUAAAAACAAGAAGAUUGAAG
RNAcentral lists this long non-coding RNA (204 nucleotides) under Phoenix dactylifera (date palm). Its description in RNAcentral is "long non-coding RNA (PDAC_LNC016862)". The record is from RNAcentral. Lineage: Eukaryota; Viridiplantae; Streptophyta; Magnoliopsida; Arecales; Arecaceae.